UGAACCUGCGGAAGGAUCAUUACUGUGAUUAUUUGUUCCACACUGCGUGAGCGCACACAACACACAAACAAGUAUACUAGUUCAGGAGUUUUUAUAUUAACACAAAACUUUCAACAACGGAUCUCUUGGUUCUCGCAUCGAUGAAGAGCGCAGCGAAAUGCGAUACCUAGUGUGAAUUGCAGCCAUCGUGAAUCAUCGAGUUCUUGAACGCACAUUGCGCCCGUCGGCAUUCCGGCGGGCAUGCCUGUCUGAGCGUCGUUUCCUUCUUGCAAGACGAGAGUUGCGCAGAGCUGGCCCGGCCACGGCCCCGCCGAAAAGAAACGAGGCCACGAGCGAACUAGAACAGGACGCUUGGGGUCUCCGAGCACAUACGAGCUCGACCUCAGAUCAGGUAGAAU
RNAcentral lists this unclassified non-coding RNA (398 nucleotides) under Pichia ethanolica. RNAcentral's name for it is "[Candida] ethanolica sequence contains ITS1, 5.8S rRNA gene, ITS2". The stretch from base 106 to 258 matches the Rfam family "5.8S ribosomal RNA". The record is from RNAcentral. Lineage: Eukaryota; Fungi; Ascomycota; Pichiomycetes; Pichiales; Pichiaceae.